This 465-nucleotide ribosomal RNA is filed under the name Vreelandella stevensii. RNAcentral describes it as "partial 16S ribosomal RNA". It matches the Rfam family "Bacterial small subunit ribosomal RNA", at positions 338 to 795 of the family's 1533-position model. The record is from RNAcentral. Lineage: Bacteria; Pseudomonadati; Pseudomonadota; Gammaproteobacteria; Oceanospirillales; Halomonadaceae.
CCUACGGGUGGCUGCAGUGGGGAAUAUUGGACAAUGGGGGGAACCCUGAUCCAGCCAUGCCGCGUGUGUGAAGAAGGCCCUCGGGUUGUAAAGCACUUUCAGUGAGGAAGAACGCCUGGUGGUUAAUACCCAUCAGGAAAGACAUCACUCACAGAAGAAGCACCGGCUAACUCCGUGCCAGCAGCCGCGGUAAUACGGAGGGUGCGAGCGUUAAUCGGAAUUACUGGGCGUAAAGCGCGCGUAGGUGGCUUGAUAAGCCGGUUGUGAAAGCCCCGGGCUCAACCUGGGAACGGCAUCCGGAACUGUCCAGCUAGAGUGCAGGAGAGGAAGGUAGAAUUCCCGGUGUAGCGGUGAAAUGCGUAGAGAUCGGGAGGAAUACCAGUGGCGAAGGCGGCCUUCUGGACUGACACUGACACUGAGGUGCGAAAGCGUGGGUAGCAAACAGGAUUAGAUACCCUAGUAGUC